UACACGAUUUUCUUGGUUAAUUGUCCUU
Molecule: small RNA, 28 nt
Filed under: Bombyx mori (domestic silkworm)
Lineage: Eukaryota; Metazoa; Arthropoda; Insecta; Lepidoptera; Bombycidae
Description: ovarian small RNA-5932
Source: RNAcentral